Molecule: ribosomal RNA, 492 nt
Filed under: uncultured bacterium
Lineage: Bacteria
Description: partial 16S ribosomal RNA
Rfam family: Bacterial small subunit ribosomal RNA
Source: RNAcentral
AGUGAACGCUGGCGGCAUGCCUAACACAUGCAAGUCGAACGACAGCACAGUAAGCUCUUUCUCUUACCGUUGGCGACUGGCGGACGGGUGAGACAUACAUCGCCUUCUACUUUUUCGUGGGUGAUUACGUGGGGCAACUUCUGCUACUACCUCAUACGUCCUACGGGUGAAAUCAGUAGUUCUUCGCACCUUUCGUGUCUCUAUUAGCUGAUGUCGGAUUAGCUAGUUGGCUUGGUAAAGGCCCACCAAGGCAACGAUGCGUAGCCGGCCUGAGAGGAUGAUCAGCCACACUGGAACUGAGACACGGUCCAGACUCCUACGGGAGGCAGCAGUGGGGAAUCUUGGGCAAUGGGCGAAAGCCUGAUCGAGCAAUACCGCGUGAGUGAAGAAGGUCUUCGGGUCGUAAAACUCUGUUGUUAGGAAAGAAAAGAAGUGGAAGAAACCAUGGAUGUCUUGACGGUACCUAAAGAGUAAGCCACGGCUAACUUCGUG